CUUGGCACCUACCUGGACAAACAAAACAUGCUGAAAGAAAUUCUACCAUUCGCACCUCUCCGGGCAACGCAGCAUCUCUUAAAAAAUGGAGCUUGAAAAGGAGAUAGAGGGAAAGAUGACGACUUGUAAUUCCUCCUUUAAGAUAAUAUUGGGUUCAUCAUCUUUGGCUCGGCGGCAAAUUCUCAAUGAGAUGGGAUAUGAAUUUACUGUUGUGACCGCAGAUAUAGAUGAAAAAAGUAUAAGAAAAGAUAAGCCAGAGGAAUUGGUGAUGGCUCUAGCUGAGGCAAAGGCAAACGCCAUCAUAGAAAGGCUUCGAAUUGAAGGUCAUGUGGAAGAGGAUGCUCAGGCAACAUUGUUAAUUACUGCAGACACAGUGGUGGUGAGUAAUGGGAUGGUUAGAGAAAAGCCAAAUAGCAAGGAAGAAGCACGGGAGUUUAUCAAAGGCUAUUCCGGUGGUCAUGCAGCAGUCAUAGGAUCUGUGGUUGUAAGUAACCUUACUACUGGAAUACGAAAAGGAGCAUGGGAAAAAGCUGAGGUUUAUUUCCAUGAGAUACCUGAUGAGAUCAUUGAUAGCGUGAUUGAGGAGGGAAGUACACUCCAUGUUGCUGGGGGUUUGACACUGGAACACCCAUUGACAUCACCAUUUGUUGAAGCAGUGUGAUGUAUUUUGCAGGUAGGGAGCACAGAUACAGUGUGGGGGCUUUCAAAAGCAUUAACCGAAAAACUCAUCAAGGAUAACCUUGUAGCUGCAAAAUAACUCGAAGCUUGAUAUCGCUUGAAUUCUAUUCAGUCCAUGGCUCAAGUCUUUUUACUCUUCAAAACUAAACAUGCUGACGACGGAGAACUAUACUGUCCUGCAAACAAAAAGAUGCAUACAAGAUUCUUUAUUGCAUUCACAUUUUUUUUUAUCUUUUCUAGUGAUCCUUGGUGAUCAUGAAUCUUACAGAUAUUCAAGUUGCAAGAUUUUUGAAGUUUCUUUAUCAUUUCUUUUUUUCUUUUUUUUGAAGUUUAUCAUUUCUUUUUUAUUCCUACAGCUGGUUGAUUCUUACAUUUCUCCAGAUUGUUUGCACCGAUGUUUCUAAUUUCUAUACAACACUUUUUAUCAGUACAAUCUAACAGUCUUUUUUUUUUCA
This is an RNA transcript of Populus trichocarpa (black cottonwood), 1133 nucleotides long. RefSeq lists it as uncharacterized. The transcript is spliced from 10 exons. Lineage: Eukaryota; Viridiplantae; Streptophyta; Magnoliopsida; Malpighiales; Salicaceae. The record is from RefSeq and is a predicted model, not a curated record.